UAAUACCAGCACCCCGAGUGGUCGGGACGAUUAUUGGGCCUAAAGCAUCCGUAGCCGGUUCUGCAAGUCUUCCGUUAAAUCCACCUGCUCAACAGAUGGGCUGCGGAGGAUACUACAGGGCUAGGAGGCGGGAGAGGCAAGCGGUACUCAGUGGGUAGGGGUAAAAUCCUCUGAUCCACUGAAGACCACCAGUGGCGAAGGCGGCUUGCCAGAACGCGCUCGACGGUGAGGGAUGAAAGCUGGGGGAGCAAACCGGAUUAGAUACCCGGGUAGUCCCAGCUGUAAACGAUGCAGACUCGGUGAUGGGUUGGCUUUGUGCCAACCCAGUGCCGCAGGGAAGCCGUUAAGUCUGCCGCCUGGGGAGUACGGUCGCAAGACUGAAACUUAAAGGAAUUGACGG
This 400-nucleotide ribosomal RNA is filed under the name uncultured archaeon. RNAcentral's name for it is "bacterial SSU rRNA". It matches the Rfam family "Archaeal small subunit ribosomal RNA", at positions 471 to 871 of the family's 1478-position model. The record is from RNAcentral.